This 746-nucleotide ribosomal RNA is filed under the name Bacillus subtilis. RNAcentral's name for it is "bacterial SSU rRNA". It matches the Rfam family "Bacterial small subunit ribosomal RNA", at positions 71 to 801 of the family's 1533-position model. The record is from RNAcentral. Lineage: Bacteria; Bacillati; Bacillota; Bacilli; Caryophanales; Bacillaceae.
GAUGGGAGCUUGCUCCCUGAUGUUAGCGGCGGACGGGUGAGUAACACGUGGGUAACCUGCCUGUAAGACUGGGAUAACUCCGGGAAACCGGGGCUAAUACCGGAUGGUUGUUUGAACCGCAUGGUUCAAACAUAAAAGGUGGCUUCGGCUACCACUUACAGAUGGACCCGCGGCGCAUUAGCUAGUUGGUGAGGUAACGGCUCACCAAGGCAACGAUGCGUAGCCGACCUGAGAGGGUGAUCGGCCACACUGGGACUGAGACACGGCCCAGACUCCUACGGGAGGCAGCAGUAGGGAAUCUUCCGCAAUGGACGAAAGUCUGACGGAGCAACGCCGCGUGAGUGAUGAAGGUUUUCGGAUCGUAAAGCUCUGUUGUUAGGGAAGAACAAGUACCGUUCGAAUAGGGCGGUACCUUGACGGUACCUAACCAGAAAGCCACGGCUAACUACGUGCCAGCAGCCGCGGUAAUACGUAGGUGGCAAGCGUUGUCCGGAAUUAUUGGGCGUAAAGGGCUCGCAGGCGGUUUCUUAAGUCUGAUGUGAAAGCCCCCGGCUCAACCGGGGAGGGUCAUUGGAAACUGGGGAACUUGAGUGCAGAAGAGGAGAGUGGAAUUCCACGUGUAGCGGUGAAAUGCGUAGAGAUGUGGAGGAACACCAGUGGCGAAGGCGACUCUCUGGUCUGUAACUGACGCUGAGGAGCGAAAGCGUGGGGAGCGAACAGGAUUAGAUACCCUGGUAGUCCACGCC